GUUAGGACAAGUCUAAAAAUUAAAAGGACAAGUCUGAUUUUAGGACAAGAGUCUAAGAAGAGAAUUAAGGAAGACAAGGAGAGAAGAAAGGUAGGGAUAGGAAGGCUAGGAGAAGAGGAAGAGCGUCUUGAGGUCUUGGUGUUCAAGAAAAUUCUCAGAGUGAGAAUUUUGGAGGAGGAAUCAUUUCAAAGAGUUGGUGUCUUGAUCAUAGCCUUGUGUGAAUCACCAUUGGAGGGCGAACACUUGGGCGCCUGGUGGAGGUUCUGCCAAAAUUUGGAUUAGACGCUGUAGGUAU
This 295-nucleotide long non-coding RNA is filed under the name Elaeis guineensis (African oil palm). RNAcentral's name for it is "long non-coding RNA (EGUI_LNC067811)". Lineage: Eukaryota; Viridiplantae; Streptophyta; Magnoliopsida; Arecales; Arecaceae. The record is from RNAcentral.